UACAGAGGGGGCAAGCGUUAUUCGGAAUUAUUGGGCGUAAAGGGCGCGUAGGCGGCAUGGCAAGUGGAAGGUGAAAUCCCUCGGCUCAACUGAGGAACUGCCCUCCAAACUGCUUUGCUUGAGUCCGGGAGAGGUGAGUGGAAUUCCCAGUGUAGCGGUGAAAUGCGUAGAUAUUGGGAGGAACACCGGUGGCGAAGGCGGCAUCCUGGACCGAGAUUGACGCUGAUGCGCGAAAGCCAGGGGAGCAAACGGG
This 253-nucleotide ribosomal RNA is filed under the name uncultured bacterium. Its description in RNAcentral is "partial 16S ribosomal RNA". It matches the Rfam family "Bacterial small subunit ribosomal RNA", at positions 524 to 776 of the family's 1533-position model. The record is from RNAcentral.